GGUAGCGAAAUUCCUUGUCGGGUAAGUUCCGACCCGCACGAAAGGUGUAACGAUUUGGGCACUGUCUCAACGAGGGACCCGGUGAAAUUGAAAUACCUGUGAAGAUGCAGGUUACCCGCGACUGGACAGAAAGACCCCAUGGAGCUUUACUGUAACCUGACAUUGGGUUUUGUUGUAUUACGUACAGGAUAGGUGGGAGGCUUAGAAGGCUGGACGCUAGUCUGGCUGGAGCCGGCGUUGGGAUACCACCCUUGAUACAACGGAAUUCUAACCGAGAGAGUAACGAAAUCCGGGACAGUGUCAGGCGGGCAGUUUGACUGGGGCGGUCGCCUCCGAAAGAGUAACGGAGGCGCCCAAAGGUUCCCUCAGCGCGGCCGGAAAUCGCGCGAAGAGUGUAAAGGCAGAAGGGAGCUUGACUGCGAGCCAAACACGGCGAGCAGGUACGAAAGUAGGGCUUAGUGAUCCGGUGGUACCGAGUGGAAGGGCCAUCGCUCAACGGAUAAAAGCUACCCUGGGGAUAACAGGCUAAUCUCUCCCAAGAGUCCAUAUCGACGGGGAGGUUUGGCACCUCGAUGUCGGCUCAUCACAUCCUGGGGCUGAAGUCGGUCCCAAGGGUUGGGCUGUUCGCCCAUUAAAGUGGUACGUGAGCUGGGUUCAGAACGUCGUGAGACAGUUCGGUCCCUAUCCAUCGCGGGCGCAAGAGAUUUGAAGGGGUCUGCUCCUAGUACGAGAGGACCGGAGUGGACGGACCGCUGGUGUACCAGUUAUUCCGCCAGGAGUACAGCUGGGUAGCUACGUCCGGACUGGAUAAACGCUGAAAGCAUCUAAGCGUGAAGCCAUCCUUAAGAUGAGAUCUCUCACAGAGAAAUCUGGUAAGACACCUUAAAGAAGAUGAGGUAGAUAGGCCGGGAGUGUAAGUGCAGCAAUGUAUUGAGCUGACCGGUACUAAUAUGUCGAGGGCUUGACUUC
This 969-nucleotide ribosomal RNA is filed under the name human gut metagenome. Its description in RNAcentral is "bacterial LSU rRNA". It matches the Rfam family "Bacterial large subunit ribosomal RNA", at positions 1955 to 2925 of the family's 2925-position model. The record is from RNAcentral.